UAAGAAUAACAUGAUUGCAAUAACAUAAGGAACAUAAUUCAAAGACUAGGGAAAAAGGAAUGUCACAGAGAAAUGAGAGUAAGAAAAAGAUGGGCUGAUAACUUUAUAAGGAUGAUAUUGUUUGACAGCCCUAGUACUUGCUAAUAUUCUCUCAAUGUCAGAAGGGAGGAAGUCAAUAGCACUUUGCACUCUUAGUUGUGGAACUUACCAGCAUGUCAGCUAUAUAGAAUUUGUCAGUAGAUACAUUGUGAUCGCUACCAUUAAGGGGAACAUUCAAAUCAAUGAGAUCAUAAAUCCCUUUUACUAUUUCCCCCCAAAGGCUUUCAAAUAUUUAAUCUCAUUUUCCUCAAAUAGCACAGAAUACUUGUGAUAAACUUGUGGAAUUCAAUUUGUCCAUUAAUUAUGAACUUUUACUGUAACUGAUGUUAAAACAUAAAUCUUUCACUCGUGUUAGUUUUAAUCAAGCUAGACCAUAUCAACAUAGAUUUGCUGUUUUUAAAAUUCGUAAAACAGUAUCCAGAAAAAAAAAAAUGUUUUCAACAAAUUCUGCAGUAUAAGUCACUUACUAGUAGAUUUAAAAGCUAAUUUAAAGAGGGUUGGAUUAGAUAACCUUUCUAGUUUUAAAUCUACCAUGAUCACAUAUUCUAUUUAAAGUUACACAGCAGUAAACCUCUGAAGCCUCAAGAUGAAACUUGAAACUAUAAAACAAAAGUGAUCAUACUAGUAAGCUUUAUGACCAUUUUCAAGUCUGAACUGCUUCUCCACGUGAAGAUUUGGUUUCUUUUAAAUUAUACUAAGGAGGAAUGGUAGUAAAUGACAUUAUAGUAAAGCUCUCAAGCAGUUUAAAGCUUUUUUUUAAUGUUGAUUUAUGGAGAAAGGGAGGGGGAGGGGGAGGAAGAUUUCCAAAAGUGUCCACUAGCACACAAAAACUCAACAUAAGAGGAAGUUAAAAACUCUGGAAAUGUCUAACUCUCGGGGCAGGAUGGAGGGGCAUUAAAGUUAUUUCCUGAAGGACAACUAACUUCACAAUCCAGAGAGGCAGAUUCUUUUCCUGGGCAAAAAGUUCUAAUGCAUGAUACCAGAGCAUGACUGUUGAAGAAGAGGAGGAAAUGAACAUCCCAAACCCUUUCUAGAAAUUAAUUUACAAAUACAUCUGAAAUGGACAAAUAGCCCUUCUGUCCACCUCGGGCCAGCAGAAGAAAGUUUGCUCAGCUAGAUUGGGGGAUUUCUUCUGCAUUCCAAAAGGCCGGCUCAACAAUACCCUUAAGGAUAUCUGUUCCGAGAGGGUGGUACCGAGAGGGUGGUACCCGAAACCAUCUAUCUAUGUUAAUGCCCUGGUGGGAUUUCUCCUCUUAUCCUGUAAAACCCCCUAUCCUCUUGUUGUAAAAUGCGAACAUUAAAAUGUAACAAGCUCGAACAAAAAAUGUUUAUAAGGCUAUCUUUAGUUCUGUAAGGUACGGAAUUCAAUUAGAACUCCCUCC
This is a long non-coding RNA of Antechinus flavipes (yellow-footed antechinus), 1481 nucleotides long. RefSeq lists it as uncharacterized. The record is from RefSeq and is a predicted model, not a curated record. Lineage: Eukaryota; Metazoa; Chordata; Mammalia; Dasyuromorphia; Dasyuridae. The transcript has 3 exons.